Non-coding RNA from Podarcis lilfordi (Lilford's wall lizard), 76 nucleotides. NCBI's taxonomy places the organism in Eukaryota, Metazoa, Chordata, Lepidosauria, Squamata, Lacertidae. The record is from the annotation of a GenBank genome assembly.
GGAAAGGGCUGUAUUUCAGUGGUGGAGCACAUGAUUUGCAUUCAAAAUGUCCCAGGUCCAAUCCCUGGCCUCUCCA